RNAcentral lists this transfer RNA (76 nucleotides) under Megalodesulfovibrio gigas DSM 1382 = ATCC 19364. RNAcentral's name for it is "tRNA-Ala (CGC) (tRNA-Ala-CGC-1-1)". It matches the Rfam family "tRNA". Rfam says of the family: Transfer RNA (tRNA) molecules are approximately 80 nucleotides in length. Their secondary structure includes four short double-helical elements and three loops (D, anti-codon, and T loops). The record is from RNAcentral. Lineage: Bacteria; Pseudomonadati; Thermodesulfobacteriota; Desulfovibrionia; Desulfovibrionales; Desulfovibrionaceae.
GGGGACGUAGCUCAGUUGGGAGAGCGGCGCGUUCGCAACGCGUAGGUCGAGGGUUCAAAUCCCUUCGUCUCCACCA